UUUAUGGAGAGUUUGAUCCUGGCUCAGGAUGAACGCUGGCGGCGUGCCUAAUACAUGCAAGUCGAGCGAAUGGACGAGAAGCUUGCUUCUCUGAUGUUAGCGGCGGACGGGUGAGUAACACGUGGAUAACCUGCCUAUAAGACUGGGAUAACUUCGGGAAACCGGAGCUAAUACCGGAUAAUAUUUUGAACCGCAUGGUUCAAAAGUGAAAGACGGUCUUGCUG
RNAcentral lists this ribosomal RNA (224 nucleotides) under Staphylococcus aureus. Its description in RNAcentral is "partial 16S ribosomal RNA". It matches the Rfam family "Bacterial small subunit ribosomal RNA", at positions 1 to 220 of the family's 1533-position model. The record is from RNAcentral. Lineage: Bacteria; Bacillati; Bacillota; Bacilli; Caryophanales; Staphylococcaceae.